Molecule: ribosomal RNA, 615 nt
Filed under: Limosilactobacillus mucosae
Lineage: Bacteria; Bacillati; Bacillota; Bacilli; Lactobacillales; Lactobacillaceae
Description: bacterial SSU rRNA
Rfam family: Bacterial small subunit ribosomal RNA
Source: RNAcentral
GGGUUUCCGCCCUUCAGUGCCGCAGCUAACGCAUUAAGCACUCCGCCUGGGGAGUACGACCGCAAGGUUGAAACUCAAAGGAAUUGACGGGGGCCCGCACAAGCGGUGGAGCAUGUGGUUUAAUUCGAAGCUACGCGAAGAACCUUACCAGGUCUUGACAUCUUGCGCCAACCCUAGAGAUAGGGCGUUUCCUUCGGGAACGCAAUGACAGGUGGUGCAUGGUCGUCGUCAGCUCGUGUCGUGAGAUGUUGGGUUAAGUCCCGCAACGAGCGCAACCCUUGUUACUAGUUGCCAGCAUUCAGUUGGGCACUCUAGUGAGACUGCCGGUGACAAACCGGAGGAAGGUGGGGACGACGUCAGAUCAUCAUGCCCCUUAUGACCUGGGCUACACACGUGCUACAAUGGACGGUACAACGAGUCGCGAACUCGCGAGGGCAAGCUAAUCUCUUAAAACCGUUCUCAGUUCGGACUGCAGGCUGCAACUCGCCUGCACGAAGUCGGAAUCGCUAGUAAUCGCGGAUCAGCAUGCCGCGGUGAAUACGUUCCCGGGCCUUGUACACACCGCCCGUCACACCAUGAGAGUUUGCAACACCCAAAGUCGGUGGGGUAACCCUU